UACGUAGGGUGCGAGCGUUAAUCGGAAUUACUGGGCGUAAAGCGCACGUAGGCGGCUCUUUAAGUCGGGGGUGAAAUCCUGGAGCUCAACUCCAGAACUGCCUUCGAUACUGUAGAGCUUGAGUUCGGGAGAGGUGAGUGGAACUGCGAGUGUAGAGGUGAAAUUCGUAGAUAUUCGCAAGAACACCAGUGGCGAAGGCGGCUCACUGGCCCGAUACUGACGCUGAGACGCGAAAGCGUGGGGAGCAAACAGG
RNAcentral lists this ribosomal RNA (253 nucleotides) under uncultured bacterium. RNAcentral describes it as "partial 16S ribosomal RNA". It matches the Rfam family "Bacterial small subunit ribosomal RNA", at positions 524 to 776 of the family's 1533-position model. The record is from RNAcentral.